This 497-nucleotide ribosomal RNA is filed under the name uncultured bacterium. Its description in RNAcentral is "partial 16S ribosomal RNA". It matches the Rfam family "Bacterial small subunit ribosomal RNA", at positions 28 to 507 of the family's 1533-position model. The record is from RNAcentral.
GAUGAACGCUGGCGGCGUGCCUAAUACAUGCAAGUCGAGCGAACGGACGAGAAGCUUGCUUCUCUGAUGUUAGCGGCGGACGGGUGAGUAACACGUGGAUAACCUACCUAUAAGACUGGGAUAACUUCGGGAAACCGGAGCUAAUACCGGAUAAUAUUUUGAACCGCAUGGUUCAAAAGUGAAAGACGGUCUUGCUGUCACUUAUAGAUGGAUCCGCGCUGCAUUAGCUAGUUGGUAAGGUAACGGCUUACCAAGGCAACGAUGCAUAGCCGACCUGAGAGGGUGAUCGGCCACACUGGAACUGAGAAACGGCCCAGACUCCUACGGGAGGCAGCAGUAGGGAAUCUUCCGCGAUGGGCGAAAGCCUGACGGAGCAACGCCGCGUGAGUGAUGAAGGUCUUCGGAUCGUAAAACUCUGUUAUUAGGGAAGAACAUAUGUGUAAGUAACUGUGCACAUCUUGACGGUACCUAAUCAGAAAGCCACGGCUAACUACGUG